RNAcentral lists this ribosomal RNA (266 nucleotides) under uncultured prokaryote. Its description in RNAcentral is "partial 16S ribosomal RNA". It matches the Rfam family "Bacterial small subunit ribosomal RNA", at positions 524 to 784 of the family's 1533-position model. The record is from RNAcentral.
UACGUAGUGGCGAGCGUUAUCCGGAAUUAUUGGGUCGUAAAGAGCGCGCUAGGUGGUUGAUUAAGUCUUGAUGUGAAAGCCCACGGCUUAACCGUGGAGGGUCAUUGGGAAACUGGUCGACUUUGAGUGCAGAAGAGGGAAGUGGAAUUCCAUGUGUAAGCGGUGAAAUGCGUAGAGAUAUGGAGGAACACCAGUGGCGAAGGCGGCUUCCUGGUCUGUAACUGACACUGAGGCGCGAAAGCGUGGGGAGCAAACAGGAUUAGAUA